This 414-nucleotide unclassified non-coding RNA is filed under the name fungal sp. RNAcentral's name for it is "partial internal transcribed spacer region". The stretch from base 1 to 46 matches the Rfam family "Eukaryotic small subunit ribosomal RNA", at positions 1786 to 1831 of the family's 1831-position model. The record is from RNAcentral. Lineage: Eukaryota; Fungi.
AAGUCGUAACAAGGUUACCGUUGGUGAACCAGCGGUAGGAUCAUUACCACAAAAAAUACCUUAUACAAAACAACCCCGCAAAGCGAAAAAUAAUUUUUGGUUUUUCUAACAGAAAAUCAAACGCUGUUUUUUUUAGCUUUUUGUGAACAUAUAGACCCCGUUCUGUAUCUUUGAAAAAAGAUGCGAAUGGACAACCCACCUCGAGUUUUGCCUUGGGUUUUUUUAUUAUUAAGAAAUCCAAGGCAACGUGGGUAAUUUAAACCUUUUAAACCACAUUAAAAACCCUUUUUUUUCUGAAAAACAACCAAUUGAAAUGAAUAAAAAAAAGCCUUAAAAACUUUCUUUUUGCAAACCUCUAUUGGCACACAAAACAAAAACAAAAAACAACUUUUAACGGUGGAUCUCUAGGCUCGU